This is a long non-coding RNA of Humulus lupulus (European hop), 497 nucleotides long. RefSeq lists it as uncharacterized. NCBI's taxonomy places the organism in Eukaryota, Viridiplantae, Streptophyta, Magnoliopsida, Rosales, Cannabaceae. The record is from RefSeq and is a predicted model, not a curated record. The transcript is spliced from 3 exons.
UCUAAGUUCAGAAGCUGCUAGUGUUAAGUGAGUGUGAGAGUGUAAACACUUGGUUUGGGGAAAAACUAUAAGCUUAAACAUCAUAAGCUUAUCAAACACUUUGGGAAGUGAGUUCUAUAGUAUUUCGGUGGAGGUUAGAUUGAUCUUGCAAUCUUUGAGGGAAUCCAAGCUCUUAAGCAUAUAAGUCGGAGUGUUCCAAAAGUCCCAACUCAGUCCAUAAUCCCGGUAACUUUGGAAAAUAAGCUUAGAGGCGGUAAGAUUCGUGGCGCUUGGAGGAUGUGUAUCGAUGAUGAAUGGAGUCAAGGGGCCGAGCGUUAAUCGAUUCGAGGAUGUAGUUUCGGUUUCAUGUCUUUUUAUAUGUAUUUUCCGCACUAAUUAUGUAAUGUUUUAUUAUUUUAAAUUAUGUUUUUGUUUUAAAGACAAUGGGAUCCCAUAUCCGUUUUGGUAUUUACUUUGUAAAUAACUCUUAUUUUGCAAGUUAUUCAAUAAAUUAUGGU